RNAcentral lists this ribosomal RNA (1372 nucleotides) under uncultured bacterium. RNAcentral describes it as "16S ribosomal RNA". It matches the Rfam family "Bacterial small subunit ribosomal RNA", at positions 28 to 1381 of the family's 1533-position model. The record is from RNAcentral.
GAUGAACGCUGGCGGCGUGCCUAAUACAUGCAAGUCGAGCGAACGGACGAGAAGCUUGCUUCUCUGAUGUUAGCGGCGGACGGGUGAGUAACACGUGGAUAACCUACCUAUAAGACUGGGAUAACUUCGGGAAACCGGAGCUAAUACCGGAUGAUAUUUUGAACCGCAUGGUUCAAAAGUGAAAGACGGUCUUGCUGUCACUUAUAGAUGGAUCCGCGCUGCAUUAGCUAGUUGGUAAGGUAACGGCUUACCAAGGCAACGAUGCAUAGCCGACCUGAGAGGGUGAUCGGCCACACUGGAACUGAGACACGGUCCAGACUCCUACGGGAGGCAGCAGUAGGGAAUCUUCCGCAAUGGGCGAAAGCCUGACGGAGCAACGCCGCGUGAGUGAUGAAGGUCUUCGGAUCGUAAAACUCUGUUAUUAGGGAAGAACAUAUGUGUAAGUAACUGUGCACAUCUUGACGGUACCUAAUCAGAAAGCCACGGCUAACUACGUGCCAGCAGCCGCGGUAAUACGUAGGUGGCAAGCGUUAUCCGGAAUUAUUGGGCGUAAAGCGCGCGUAGGCGGUUUUUUAAGUCUGAUGUGAAAGCCCACGGCUCAACCGUGGAGGGUCAUUGGAAACUGGAAAACUUGAGUGCAGAAGAGGAAAGUGGAAUUCCAUGUGUAGCGGUGAAAUGCGCAGAGAUAUGGAGGAACACCAGUGGCGAAGGCGACUUUCUGGUCUGUAACUGACGCUGAUGUGCGAAAGCGUGGGGAUCAAACAGGAUUAGAUACCCUGGUAGUCCACGCCGUAAACGAUGAGUGCUAAGUGUUAGGGGGUUUCCGCCCCUUAGUGCUGCAGCUAACGCAUUAAGCACUCCGCCUGGGGAGUACGACCGCAAGGUAGAAACUCAAAGGAAUUGACGGGGACCCGCACAAGCGGUGGAGCAUGUGGUUUAAUUCGAAGCAACGCGAAGAACCUUACCAAAUCUUGACAUCCUUUGACAACUCUAGAGAUAGAGCCUUCCCCUUCGGGGGACAAAGUGACAGGUGGUGCAUGGUUGUCGUCAGCUCGUGUCGUGAGAUGUUGGGUUAAGUCCCGCAACGAGCGCAACCCUUAAGCUUAGUUGCCAUCAUUAAGUUGGGCACUCUAAGUUGACUGCCGGUGACAAACCGGAGGAAGGUGGGGAUGACGUCAAAUCAUCAUGCCCCUUAUGAUUUGGGCUACACACGUGCUACAAUGGACAAUACAAAGGGCAGCGAAACCGCGAGGUCAAGCAAAUCCCAUAAAGUUGUUCUCAGUUCGGAUUGUAGUCUGCAACUCGACUACAUGAAGCUGGAAUCGCUAGUAAUCGUAGAUCAGCAUGCUACGGUGAAUACGUUCCCGGGUCU